This 468-nucleotide ribosomal RNA is filed under the name uncultured bacterium. RNAcentral's name for it is "partial 16S ribosomal RNA". It matches the Rfam family "Bacterial small subunit ribosomal RNA", at positions 28 to 507 of the family's 1533-position model. The record is from RNAcentral.
GACGAACGCUGGCGGCGUGCUUAACACAUGCAAGUCGAACGGAAAGGCCCUGCUUUUGUGGGGUGCUCGAGUGGCGAACGGGUGAGUAACACGUGAGUAACCUGCCCUUGACUUUGGGAUAACUUCAGGCAACUGGGGCUAAUACCGGAUAGGAGCUCCUGCUGCAUGGUGGGGGUUGGAAAGUUUCGGCGGUUGGGGAUGGACUCGCGGCGUAUCAGCUUGUUGGUGGGGUAGUGGCUUACCAAGGCUUUGACGGGUAGCCGGCCUGAGAGGGUGACCGGCCACAUUGGGACUGAGAUACGGCACAGACUCCUACGGGAGGCAGAAGUGGGGAAUAUUGCACAAUGGGCUGAAGCCUGAUGCAGCAACGCCGCGUGCGGGAUGACGGCCUUCGGGUUGUAUACCGCUUUCGCCUGUGACGAAGCGUGAGUGACGGUAAUGGGUAAAGAAGCACCGGCUAACUACGUG